Molecule: ribosomal RNA, 422 nt
Filed under: uncultured bacterium
Lineage: Bacteria
Description: bacterial SSU rRNA
Rfam family: Bacterial small subunit ribosomal RNA
Source: RNAcentral
UAAGGAAUAUUGGUCAAUGGAGGCAACUCUGAACCAGCCGUGCCGCGUGCAGGAAGACGGCCCUCUGGGUUGUAAACUGCUUUUAUACGGGAAUAAACCUGCUUACGUGUAAGUAGCUGAAUGUACCGAAGGAAUAAGGAUCGGCUAACUCCGUGCCAGCAGCCGCGGUAAUGCGGAGGAUCCAAGCGUUAUCCGGAUUUAUUGGGUUUAAAGGGUGCGUAGGCGGCUUAUUAAGUCAGGGGUGAAAGACGGUGGCUCAACCAUCGCAGUGCCCUUGAUACUGUUGAGCUUGAAUGAACUAGAGGUAGGCGGAAUGUGACAAGUAGCGGUGAAAUGCAUAGAUAUGUCACAGAACACCGAUUGCGAAGGCACCUUACUAUGGUUUUAUUGACGCUGAGGCACGAAAGCGUGGGGAUCAAACA